CCUGUUUGUUCCAGUUCAGUGGACCGGUGGACGGAAUGUGGUGGUUUGGUUGAUUCGUGUUAAAAAAGCUCUCCUUUGAUUGUUAAUUAUCAAGUGAGAUAAGAAUGACCAAUCUUCAUGAGUCUAAAUUAAAGUGUUACUGGAAGUUAUAGACGCAGAGAUAGACAAAUUCAACGCACGGCUUAAGG
Molecule: long non-coding RNA, 188 nt
Organism: Agrilus planipennis (emerald ash borer)
Lineage: Eukaryota; Metazoa; Arthropoda; Insecta; Coleoptera; Buprestidae
Exons: 3
Source: RefSeq, a predicted model, not a curated record